ACGGAAGGCAGCAGUGGGGAAUAUUGGGCAAUGGGCGCAAGCCUGACCCAGCAACGCCGCGUGAAGGAAGAAGGCUUUCGGGUUGUAAACUUCUUUUGUCAGGGAACAGUAGAAGAGGGUACCUGACGAAUAAGCUCCGGCUAACUACGUGCCAGCAGCCGCGGUAAUACGUAGGGAGCGAGCGUUGUCCGGAUUUACUGGGUGUAAAGGGCGUGCAGCCGGGCUGGCAAGUCAGAUGUGAAAUCCAGAGGCUUAACCUCUGAACUGCAUUUGAAACUGCUGGUCUUGAGUACCGGAGAGGUUAUCGGAAUUCCUUGUGUAGCGGUGAAAUGCGUAGAUAUAAGGAAGAACACCAGUGGCGAAGGCGGAUAACUGGACGGCAACUGACGGUGAGGCGCGAAAGCGUGGGGAGCAAACAGGAUUAGAUACCCUGGUA
Molecule: ribosomal RNA, 436 nt
Filed under: uncultured bacterium
Lineage: Bacteria
Description: bacterial SSU rRNA
Rfam family: Bacterial small subunit ribosomal RNA
Source: RNAcentral